GCCGAUUUAGCUCAGUUGGUAGAGCAGUCGCUUUGUAAGCGAAUGGUCACGUUAAUCGGCACCA
RNAcentral lists this transfer RNA (64 nucleotides) under Escherichia coli. RNAcentral's name for it is "tRNA-Thr". It matches the Rfam family "tRNA". Rfam says of the family: Transfer RNA (tRNA) molecules are approximately 80 nucleotides in length. Their secondary structure includes four short double-helical elements and three loops (D, anti-codon, and T loops). The record is from RNAcentral. Lineage: Bacteria; Pseudomonadati; Pseudomonadota; Gammaproteobacteria; Enterobacterales; Enterobacteriaceae.